This 404-nucleotide ribosomal RNA is filed under the name Actinomycetes bacterium. Its description in RNAcentral is "Actinobacteria bacterium partial 16S ribosomal RNA". It matches the Rfam family "Bacterial small subunit ribosomal RNA", at positions 355 to 776 of the family's 1533-position model. The record is from RNAcentral. Lineage: Bacteria; Bacillati; Actinomycetota; Actinomycetes.
UGGGGAAUAUUGGACAAUGGGCGCAAGCCUGAUCCAGCCAUGCCGCGUGAGUGAUGAAGGCCCUAGGGUUGUAAAGCUCUUUCACCGGUGAAGAUAAUGACGGUAACCGGAGAAGAAGCCCCGGCUAACUUCGUGCCAGCAGCCGCGGUAAUACGAAGGGGGCUAGCGUUGUUCGGAUUUACUGGGCGUAAAGCGCACGUAGGCGGACUAUUAAGUCAGGGGUGAAAUCCCGGGGCUCAACCCCGGAACUGCCUUUGAUACUGGUAGUCUUGAGUUCGAGAGAGGUGAGUUGAAUUCCCGGUGUAGAGGUGAAAUUCGUAGAUAUUCGGAGGAACACCAGUGGCGAAGGCGGCUCACUGGCUCGAUACUGACGCUGAGGUGCGAAAGCGUGGGGAGCAAACAGG